This 520-nucleotide ribosomal RNA is filed under the name uncultured bacterium. RNAcentral's name for it is "bacterial SSU rRNA". It matches the Rfam family "Bacterial small subunit ribosomal RNA", at positions 355 to 889 of the family's 1533-position model. The record is from RNAcentral.
CAAGGAAUCUUCGGCACUGGGCGCAAGCCUGACCGAGCAACGCCGCGUGGAGGAUGACGGCCUUCGGGUUGUAAACUCCUUUGAGGUGGGACGAAACGGACGGUACCACCAGAACAAGCCCCGGCUAACUCUGUGCCAGCAGCCGCGGUAAGACAGAGGGGGCAAGCGUUGUCCGGAGUGACUGGGCGUACAGCGCGUGCAGGCGGAAUGGUACGUGCCCUGUGACACCUCGCCGCUCACCGGCGAGAGGCCAGAGUAGACGGCCAAUCUAGAGGGUCCAAGAGGGAUGUGGAACACCCGGUGGAGCGGUGAAAUGCGUAGAGAUCGGGUAGAACACCAGCGGCGAAGGCGGCAUCCUGGGGGACACCUGACGCUGAGGCGCGAAAGCGUGGGGAGCAAACGGGAUUAGAUACCCCGGUAGUCCACGCGGUAAACGAUGUGGAGCCGGUGUCUGCGGGUGAUUGUGCCCGUGGGGACCCAAGCUUACGCGAUGACUCCACCGCCUGGGGAGUACGGCCGC